GACGGAGGGUGCAAGCGUUGCUCGGAAUGACUGGGCGUAAAGGGUGUGUAGGCGGUUUGUUAAGUCUGAUGUGAAAUCCCCGGGCUCAACCUGGGAACUGCGUUGGAAACUGGCAAACUAGAGUACGUAAGAGGGGGGUGGAAUUCCACGUGUAGCAGUGAAAUGCGUAGAGAUGUGGAGGAACACCGAUGGCGAAGGCAACCCCCUGGGACGAUACUGACGCUGGGGCACGAAAGCGUGGGGAGCAAACAGG
RNAcentral lists this ribosomal RNA (253 nucleotides) under uncultured bacterium. RNAcentral describes it as "partial 16S ribosomal RNA". It matches the Rfam family "Bacterial small subunit ribosomal RNA", at positions 524 to 776 of the family's 1533-position model. The record is from RNAcentral.